This 20644-nucleotide long non-coding RNA is filed under the name Equus caballus (horse). RNAcentral's name for it is "lncRNA (ENSECAG00000049469.1)". Lineage: Eukaryota; Metazoa; Chordata; Mammalia; Perissodactyla; Equidae. The record is from RNAcentral.
GUCCAGUUGGAAAAGUUUAUUUUUUAUUUUUAUUUUUUUUUUAAGAUUUUAUUUUUUUCCUUUUUCUCCCCAAAGCCCCCCGGUACAUAGUUGUGUAUUCUUCGCUGUGGGUUCUUCUAGUUGUGGCAUGUGGGACGCUGCCUCAGCGUGGUCUGAUGAGCAGUGCCAUGUCCGCGCCCAGGAUUCGAACUAACGAAACACUGGGCCGCCUGCAGCGGAGCGCGCGAACUUAACCACUCGGCCACAGGGCCAGCCCCCAGUUGGAAAAGUUUAUUUUGUUUUAUGAAAACUUUAUUUUUCUUAUUCUGCUGCUAAUUAUUUUGAACCACAGGGGGACCAGAAAUGCUUCUCUUUCCCAUCACUAUGUUUCUGCCUCUCAGAUCAAGAGAGAUGAGCCCAAAAUGGAGCACGAGGCUCCUGAGCUGGCACGGGAAGGUCACGGGUGAGCGGGGAAGCGAUAGUUAUCAGAGUCAUGCAAGACACGAUAAUCCGGGUUUAUGAUCGCAUUGGACCUUUGCUUUUCUCUGUGAUGGGCCAUCAAUAAAUGCUCCCCACACCUCUGCCCGUUCUCCAUCGAGGUCCAGAUUUCCUGUCUGCAGGACUUCCACAGAGUUUCACCAGUUCAGAAUCCAUGCCAUUACCGGAUGGGCAUUUUAGUAGCUUUUCGGCAGAAGACAUCCCUGCUAAUUUGCGAAUUCAUUUGGAUGCUCUCUGCCAGCCGCUGGCCGUCCGUGGACCGUUUUCAGCUGAGUUUCGUCUGGCCAGACACGACGUCUCGGUGCUGCUUUUAGUUCUGUUAAGUCCUUCCGAGAGAGGGAGGGUUCCGGAGGGACUGACCGCCCAGCUCCCACUCUCAAAGAAGGCAGGUUGCAAGUUUAAUGAUGCUUUUGAACCACUUGAUCUAAAAUUUUUCAUGAGAGAUUAAAAAAAAAAAAGGCUUUUGUUCUUAUAAAGUUUCGUUGUCUCAGAUUAUCAGUUUGUGCUCGUGGACUAAAAUCCGCUAAAUUCAAUAUAUAAUCAGCACACAUAUUUUAGCACUUUUAUCCUGGGCUAGGUUCUCAGAGGGAUUCUCAGAAGAGAAAUUUUAGUCCUGGUUCUCAGGGACUAGGCAGCCUGUUUGGAGAUUCAGGCCAUCUAUUUUAAAAAAAACAACAAUAACUUGUCAUAAAAUAAUACGAGGUGGUAUAGAUGGAAAAGGCAGGGCCUACUGUGUACUUACCACUGUCCUUAGACUAUAAAUGUAUUAGCUUUUUUACUCUUCAACUCUGUGGGGUAUAUAUUAUUAUUAUUGUUUAAAUGUGAGGAAACGGAGGCACAGAGAGGUUAACACACUUGCCCAGCGUCACACAGCUAGUCUGUGGCAGGAGUGGAGUUUAUAGGCUUUGAAGAAGAGGUCAUUUGGGGUAAUUUUCAUAAAAGCAUUUAAGGCAAAGAAGUACUAUAGCCAUUUUUAUAGGUCAUAAAUUGAGGCUCAGGGAAGCUGAGUAGCUUGCCCAGAGUCACGGAGUUUAUAAGUGGCAGAUCCAAGGUUCAAAUCCAGGUCUGCCUGAUUCUACAUUCUGUUCAACGACCCUGUGCCUGCUGCCUCUGUUAGGCAAACCUACAGCUUCUUUCUCUGGCUAAGGAGCUUUUUAGAAAAAUACAUUCUCUCUCCCUCUCUCACACACACACACCCCUAGCUACCAGCAGCUCCAUUUACUCUAGCUAGGAGUGUUGUCACAAAGGGACCAGUAGGUGUAGCCUCCGCCUAGCCCCUCUAUCAGAGCUGGAGUGACCAGGGGACCAGAGAGUGUCAUCAUGGCAGACACCUGGCCCAGGCUGCCACCAGGAAUGUGUCCGGGGCAUUUUCUGAGGGCCACUGUCUCCGCACCCUUCUUGAAGGGAAGGUCUGGCCCCUUCACUUCCCACCAGAGCACAGACCAAGAGCUCCAAAGUGAACCCGGCUGACCCUUGCUGAGGACUCAGCGCAGGGAGUGCCCAGUGGACGUGCUGGUGGCCAGAAGGGGCUGCUGGUAUUGUCAAGAAGGCCACUGUUCCAUUCUUACCUUGCCACCUGGGGGCCGGUCAAGAGAGGGCAGAACAGGUGGAGAUGAUCAUGUCCCUCUGCUUGUCUGGCAGCCCUACACUGCUAGGAUGGGGGCCCCAUCCCCCUCGGGGGCCCCAGGGCCUUCCUGCUCAUCCGGCUCCAAUCACGCAGGCUCUGCCUUGUCUCUACCGCAGCUCUACUGCCCUUCUUUGAGUUAAGUGAACCCAUAACCUCCGUCUUCUAGGAGGAUCUUUGCAUCUGCUGUUACCUCUGCUAGAACAGAGAAAACGAUUCUUUUCACUCUCAGUUGCCCCAGCCUCAGAGGAGCCUCAUGACCUGCUCGCUCCUGUCCGUCUGUUAGAGCAUAGAUGACGAUUUCUCCUCUCCCUUCUCCUCCCUUGCCUUCUUUCCUUCCUCACCCCGUUGUGUCCCUAUUGCCUUCCACAAUGUUUGUACACGGAGGUCCUGAUGCACAUUUAUUGAUGAAAGGAAGGAAGAAUGAAUGAUGCGUGCCCCAUGGGGCCUGGCACGCACCGUGAGAAGUCGACAGCCCAUCCCUGGUACCCCUCACUCAGUCUACGAUGAGAGGCAGCUUUGCCCGGCAGGGUGCAGGCAGCCUAGUGAUUACCCCCAUGCAGCCACCACCCUGUCCCGGGGAAGGGAUAUGCCGUGAGCCAGCUCCAUGCUUCACUGCUGCGUGGAAUUGGGCACAGAAAGUCUGCUGACAGUGGGAAGGGGCAAGUGGUGAUCUGGGUGAUGGACUGGAGACUUCCCCGUCAGACUGUGCUCCCUUUAUCAAGCAGGAAGCUGGCAGGCUGUGUUUUAAUCAAUUGAUAGCAUCACUUGGCAUCCAGCAGCCGGCUCAGGUUUUGCAAAAGACCAGGUCGCUGAUUUUCCCAUCUCUCUCGCCUCCCAGAGAUUUCAGGUUGGGGGCAGAGAGUGGCUGUGAGGCUCCUCCUGGAACAUUGGCCAGGGGCCCGAGCUCCGCAUGCCACACUUCCCCUGCAGAAGGAAAUGAACCCCCAGAUAGAGGGGGAAAAAAGAGAAGAAGGCAAGUGCCAAGAAGGUUCUGAGGGAAAUGAAACUGUCAUAUGACUUUGGUCUCCCCUUAUUGGGAGGAGGGGCUGUUAGCAACCAGGAUGGGUCCAGCUCAAAACUGAAGUCAGUCGAGUCUCUUUAAUAAGAACCUUGUCCCUUUGCCCAGCCCUCUGCAGUUGUAAGCACUUGCCACAGCUCCUUUUCUCUUCAUGGCCCUCCACAGACCUGAUCCCUUGAGCCAGCAGUCUCUGCUGUCAUAGUCCGUCCUUUGUCUUCAGUCAUUCCCAGCUCCAGGCUGACCUCCAGUCUUGUGUUAGAAUAAUUUUCCCAAAGUCUGAGCAGGUCACACCCUCCUUCAAUGGUGGCACCUUCUUAUGACGGUACCUCCUGCUCAGAUGGGUGCUUCUCAAGGUGCACCCAUCCUAGUGCCAGGGUUGACAUUGGGGCUGACAGGUAGAAGAAAUUCAGAACACAUUUAAGAAUAAAUGGAUAGAUGGAUGGAUGGAUUGACAAAGUGAUGGAUGGAUGGAUGGAUGGAUAGGUGAAUGGACAAACUGAUGGAUAGAUGGAUGGAUGGAUGGAUGCAUGGAUGGAUGCAUGGAUGGGAUUGUUAGGGGCAGGAAGAAAUAAAGAGAUCUGAGGGGUGUGCUGAGAUGAGGCAGAAAUCAUGGUGGUCAACAGCCAGACUAGAGUCGACUGGCAGAGUUUUGUCCAGGUAACUCUGGGCAAAUCAUUUACUCCAAGGCCAGCUUUUCUUAUCUGAAAAACGGGGUUGGUAGCAGUGCCUCCUUCAGAGGGUAAUUGUGAGGAAUAAAUGAGAUAAAUCCUGGAACGUGCUUGGUGCCAGACCUGGGAUGUAGGAAGUGCUCAGGACCUGGAAAUGAUGUUCCUGAUGGUGAGGAAGAGGGGAGGAGGAGGCAGGGGGAGGUGGAAUAGAUCACGGAGAAGAGCAUAUGUGUGGGGUCUACAUGGCUUCAGUGUCCUCAUAGAUCCUCCCCCGCCUCUGUGUCUAUGCUCAGGGACCCCAAAAGUGCCCUCUUUCUUCUGUGCUUGCCUUUGGAGCUCUUACCUGGUUCAUCCCCACAACCCUACCACUUCAUGUUGCCUUAUCUUGUCAAGACCCUAAAUCUCCCCAGGUGGGAUCUUGCUACCAAUAUGGUACCUUGCAUUUGACAUUACUCAUCUUGUUUAUUGGUCAGGGUAGGCUAAUAGCUGUAAAAAAAAAAAAAAAAAAACCAACACAAAAACCAUACAAUAUUCAUGAAGACAACAUUCAACAUUUUAUGAGACAAAUUCAAUAAGAGUAUUCCUGAUUGGGUGGAUCUCCUCAAGGCAGCGGUUCAGGCACUCCAGGGUGUGACUCUACCAUUUUCCUAGAUCCCUAUCCUCCUCACUUUUUUGCUAGCAGAUGGAGAAAGAGAAGGAACAAGACCAAGAGGGAAACGUUUAUGGACCAGGCUGCUAAUGGCAUCAUUUACCUCAGCCACAUUCUAUUGGCCAGAACCAAGUCACAUGACCCUAUCUUUCCUGACAGGGAUGCUGGGAAAUGUAGUCUAGCUGUUUUCUGAGAAAGAAAAGGGAGUGGGAGUUUGGGAAAACCUAGUAGCCUCUGCUCAACCCGCCUUCCAUGGCCACUCUUGGCUGAAACACGCCUUUGGUUCAUGGGAUGCUGACCUCACACCUCACAGCCAGCCCUGUCCAAUUCUAGCUUUGUCCCUGUCCCCUGAGAUGCCAUCCCAUACAGAACUACACUCCCCAGUCCUCCUAUGCUCUCCCCAUAGAGAAAUCUGACAGGACAUCUGGAUGCCAGGUACAACACAGAGCACAUCACCUGGCUUUGGACAGUUUUUCUCCUGUGUCAUGAUGUCCACACUCUUGACCCAUGCCCUGGCAAAGGAACCUUCUCCCCGUUCCCUGCUUGUCCCAAUCUAGGUCAUACCAGUUUGUGCUUGGAGUUAGCUGGGGUUUUUUUUUAUUUUAAAAUCCAAACCAAUUAAAAAUGUAUUUUGUAAAGGAGUGAAAAAAAAUGUCUUUCACCUCAGCUGAGAAUUCCGCCUGCCCAAUUUCACCUGGAAAAGAAUUGAAACCGACAACAUGUUACUAAUUGGGGAAUUUGAGCGGUCCCUCAUGUGUGGCUUGGGUUUCCAGCAUCCUCGCUCCAGCGUGUAGAUAUUCACAAGUUUACCGUAUCAGAAAUACAGGUUCUGAGAGGUGGUGCCUCAGACAGACCAAGCAAGGCUGUCAAGGUAUAUUUGGGGACACGCCAAGGAUUCUAUUAAUCUUAUACCCUACAGCUUGACUCAAGGGAGAAUUAGUAUUUGCUGCCAUGGCAUCCUCCAAUUGUAGGGACGUUAGUGACCUUUCUCACCAACAGCCAGGUCUCCGAAUCACUUUGCCUAUCAAAAACCCGUGGGAAGUAGUGUAGGACUGUGGGCAUUUGAGCCUUAAAGACUCGGUUCCAAUCCCAGCACCAUCAUUAAUUAGCCUUGUGAUUGGAGCCAACUGACAAUUCCUCUGACCAUCAGUUUUCUCGUCUCUAAAAUUGGGUCAACAAUGCCAACAGACAACAGAAUUAAAUCCUUGCUAUAAAAGACCAGCACAGACCUUAGCAUGGAGCAGUCUCUCCUUCCUUUCUUUCCUGUGAAGGAAAUACCAAAUCUGGCCUAGGGUUCAGUGUAAAGUGAGUUUUCAAACGCUCGGUGCCGCAGUCUGCACAAGCGCUUGCUUCGCUCUCAGAUUCGGGUGAGCUGGCUGGGCUCUAUGGAAAGAGAGGACGAUUCUCGCUCUCAGCGGGGAGCUGAUCCCUUGCAAGUGCAGUUACCAAAGCCUCUAAUGAUGGAAUUCUCCCUGGCAAAUUCUAUUCAAGGAUGGAACCGCGGAAAGGCACUGGAGUGGCAGGGCAGGUCUUCAAAUGGACACUUAUUCAACCAUUUGAAAUAAGCCAUUCACUGGUGCCUGCAAAACAUAUCCAGCAAAACAGCUAUGGUUCUUGAUUUUAUGGAGUCCUCAUGGGCAUAGUAGGGUGAUAUGUUGGGAAAGAGCACAGGUGUGCUGUGAUGGUACUCUAGGCGGGUACAUGGGUACUCUAGAAUGGUAUCUAGGUAUCUUGAGAUGGAAUACUGGGAUAGUACACUGGUAUACUGGAUGGAACAUAGGUACAUUGGGAUUGUGCAGUCAGAUGGUACACUGAGAGAUGAAACUGGUACAUGGGGAUGGUACAUAUGCAUGCUGGGAUGGUACACAGAGAUGGUAUACAGGGAUGCUGGUAGGUAUAGAGAGAUGGUACAAGGAGAUGGCACAUGGGUACACUAGGAUGAUACACUGGUAUGCUGGAUGGAACGCUGAGAUGUGAAACUGGUACACUGGAUGGUAUGCAUGCAUGCUGGGAUGAGACACAGAGGUGGUACACUAGGAUGGACCACUGGGAUGGUACACAGGCAUGCUGGGAGGUAUACAUGGAUGGUACAUGGAGAUGGUACCCAGAGAUGGCACAUAGGUAUGCUGGGAUGGCACAUAGGAAUGCUACACAAUUAUGGUGGGAUGGUACACCACAAGAUUCUGUACAUAGAGAAGCUAAAUGCACUCUGGAAAGGGCCCCACUAUCGCCACAUCUAAAACUCCUCACACUGAUUGUCGUUGUGGCCAACGAUGUUGGUUUUGUGCUUCUCGGAUGGAACCCCGUAGCUGUGUACAGCGCAGCCUUUGGAAACAGCCUGGUUUCAAAUUCUGGCCCCACGACUCUUGGUCGUGUGACCUCGGGCAGGUUCCGAAGCUUCCUAGGCUUUGCUCAUUCUCUCAUCUGUAAAAUAGAGAAAUAAAAACCUGCUUCACAGGCUGGGAAGUUUUCAUGCACAGAAUUUGAAAUUUGAGCUUUACCACUCAGGAAGUCUGAGGUCUCGGGCAAGUGAUUCUCGAAGCUUUAGUCUUCUUAUCUAUAAAUGAGGGUCAAAAAUGCCUGGCUCUGAGUAUUUGCUCAUUUUUUGAAUAAGCUACUUCAUUCCACAAUGAACUUCAGGCGGGCUGUAAAAACUCACACAACAAAUGCAAUGCAAAUAAAUAGAGAGUUCAAUGUGACGGGAAAACCAGGGUUGAACAAGAAAAUAAAUCCACUUGUAAGAAUAUUAAAGAGCCAAGUACCCAUAAAGCAAUGGCCAUGGUUGGCACUUGGUAGGAAUUUGGGAAUAAUUGAUUCCCCCCCUUUGCGUGAACACAAGGUUUUCAAGAUGGAUUUCUUAUGCUGGAAGAGAAUAGGUGGCAAGUGACAUUUUCUACCAAGAGAGCCAGGCUCACAAAAGCUGGGCUCUUUCGUGUUGUGCAUAGCCCACAAGGCUGGUCCUGGCCUGCUUGGUGACAGAACAACCACUUGGGGUUUCGGGUCCAGCAAAUCACAUCUGGAAUUUCAUGUGUAUCCAUCCCUAAGCCCAUGCUCCCUAAGUCCUGUGACUCUUGACAUGGCAUCUUUCAGCUGCAGUGCACAGCAGAGGCCCAUGUGGUCAUUAAAAUGAUCCUGUGGCACCUUUUCCCCAAGAAGAGGAGCGUCGUUGACAGCUCUGGCCAUGGCCAAGUUCAAAUUAAAGUAAUUACCUCAGUUCUGUCUCUGGAUCCUUUCAACCUUUGCUAGUGUGCUUGUCCCCUUCUUGCCCUGCAGUGCUCUGGGGACUUCUGUUGGCCUUGUCAGAAAUGCUUGAUGUCCUUGAGGUGGGGAUCAUCAACUGUGACAGGUGUGGGUUGCACUUGACCUUUUGGAGCAGGAAGCCCAGCAAAGACCUUCAAGGUGGCCAUGGACAGGAACGUGAAUCUCUAUGGCAGGUCUCCUCAGCCCCACACACGUGAGCACUUAUGGGAAAUCACAGUUUUAAAAAAUUCCACUGAUGCAGACACCAAGGCACAGAGAUGACAGGCUGCGUCGCCUAAGGUUAGACAGGAAAUCCGUGACAGGAGCCCUCUGCCAUGUGACUCCAAAUCCACUCACUCACUGUCAUCUCGUCAUCCUCACCACAGUGGUAUCCAUCCUUUCACCUAACACUGUCACACACCUUGAACAUUCAAAUCCUCCUGUUUCACGCUCACAGUAGCCAAGGAGAGAAUCCUCUCGUCCCUCUCAUUUUGAAGAUGAAGAAACUGAGGGUCAGAGAGGACAAGGAAAUUUGCCAAGACCACCAUGCGACAAAGGAGUAGAGUUGGGACGUAAAUCUAUGUCCUUGUUUUUAAGCACUUCUCUUUACUGUCUCAGAUGUCUGUGCACACUUUAUUUAGUUGUUUUCUUUUAACUUUUUAGUGCAGAAAGUUUCGAACAUAUACGAAGUAAACAGGACGGUGUUGUAUUAGUUGCCUAUUGCUGAGCAACAAGUCAUCGCAAACUUAGCAGCUUAUAACAACUCCCAUUUAUCAUCUCAGUUUCCAUGCGUCAGGAGACUGGGUGUGGGUCACCUGGGUCUCCUGCUCAGGGUCUCACAGGCUGCAUGCAGUCAAGGGGGUCUCGUGUGAAGUUAGAGGUCCUUUUCCAAGUUCACGUGGUUGUUGGCAGAAUUCAUUUCCUUCCAGUUGUAGAACUCAUGGAGGCUUGUUUCUUCAAGACCAGAAAGAGGGAGUCUCUGCUGCUUUGAGUCUCUGAGCUCAGGGAAGGUCUAAAUCCUCUUCCAAAGGCUCACCUGAUUAGGUCUGGCCCACCUGGGAUAAUCUCUGUCUUGAUUAACUCAGACUGAUUAGGGACCUUAACUACAUCUGCAAAAUCCCUUUGUCUUUGCCACAUAGUAUAACAUAAUCACAGGAAUGACAUCCCAUCAUACUCGCAGGUCCCACCUCCACUCAACGGGAGGGGAUUAUACGAAGGCGUGGGUCAUUGGGGGUUAUCUUGGAGCUCUGCCUGUGAUAAGUAUAACCCCUAUGUACUCAUCAUGCAGAUUGAAUAAUGACUAACAUUCUGCCAUUCUUCUUCCAGUCCCUACCCCCACUUAAUCCUAAAUUGUUCUUACAGCGUUUUAGGUAAAACUCAUCAACAUUGAAAUGCACAAAUCUUAGCUGUACAGUUUUGACAAACGGGUGCACCCCACAUAACCCACACCCUGACGACAACUUAGAAUACUUGUGUCUUCCAGAAAGUUCCUUCCUAGUCAGAUACACUUAGGUAUAUCUUUUACUUUGUAAAAAAGCUAAUACUUAUAAGGCAUACCUAAUAUCCUAGCCAACAGAAUGUAGGCAAUCGGUAAAUGUUAGCUUCCUUCCAAUUCUUCUAACUACAAGUCUGAGAUUUUUAUGAGAUGAAGACCAUCGUCAGCUCUGCUCCCGGCACAGUGUCUGGAAAGCAUGGCAGGUGCCUUGAUCUCCGUUGACUUAGUCUGCACAGUUCUAAUUACUAGGGCACAUGUUAGACUUAGACCAGGGCCAUCGCACCCCUUUGCUUUCAGAUUCUCCUGAUACAGUGACGUGCUCUGACCACAUCUCAGGCUGGGGGUGGGGAGGAAUCUUACCCUUGGUUUCCCGGUAUUGAGUGGACCUUUCUUGCCUCUACAAGGCAGGUCUGGGACAGGGCUGUGCUCAGGGCUCUCCUCCUUCUCCAGCAAAAAAAAAAAAAAAUCAAGACCAAGAGAUAGUGUGGCAUCUAGAGAAAAAAAGGGAUGUGGAAUCGGACAGACUGCAGCUCUGCAACUGGGGCCUAUUGAUGUUAACAUCAGAGCCUCUCUCUCCACGUCUCCCAGCUCAGCCUCAUCUGACUUUUAUGGAUCAAAAGCAAACCCAGCAGUGCUUGUCUGAAAGCGCUGAGAAGACUUGGUUCCUCCCCUGGCCUGUGAGUUCAGCACUCCCCUUCGCUGGUUUGUCUGUCUGUCCAGCCAGCCCCUCUCUCCACCAUCUCUCACACCUAAUGUGUAUGAGGGAUAGAAACACGUGGAUUCAUCAGACAUAAUCUAGGCCCUUGUGGGGCAGAUCAGCAUUUUUAUAAACACCAAUAGUAUAAACCAGGCGGGUCAUUUCUCCCACAGAAGUAAACAACAAAAUGCAUUAAGGUUUCCAGUGGGAUUAUUUUCUUCUGCACCAUCUGGAAAGAUCUGGAUGAGGGGGUAGGCACUGAUCUCUAACUUAAAGACUACAGAUGAUUCUAGCCCAUCCCGCCCCCACUUCAUUCCUUCUUCUCCUGUUUCCUCCCGUCUCCUGCCUCUCUCUUUCAAGGAGGUCCUCUGUCUGUCUUCUUCUCUCCUCUUCCCUUCUUCUUGCUCCCUCUGCCUCUCUGGACAGACAUCGGAAUGCUCGUCUCUGCUAAAUACACCUCUCUCAACGCUUUAUAAACCAUGACCCCCAUCCCCUGGGCCUGGAGACGUUAUGAGAAGAACCCCACCAAGAGCAAAAUUGGUGAUUUCUCAUUUAAUUUUUUCAAAGAUUUGAUUUUUUUUUAAAUUGAAAACUCAAAAAUGCCAAUAAAACCCUUGCCCGGAUCAGCUGUGUCUUUAAGUGUAAAAUCCAUUUUAGACAGCAUAGCUCGCGAUAUAGUUAAGUACUUAUUUUUAUUGUCUGUCUGGGCAUGGUUUUUAACUGCAGGUGGAGAACUGAUCAAUAAUGUCAUAAAGACACACUCACCCUGUGCCCUUUCCCUAAGGGGAGCGACUCAGGUCCCUGUGCACCGGAUUGCCCAGGCUGUGCCAGGCCUGGGGCUGCAAUUCUCUCUCCUUGCUGUUUUUGUCUGACUUUGUUUGGCAAAGGCUAUGAGACUUCUUCUUACGGUUCCCCCAAACUCUUUGCAAAGGGGAACAUCGCUGGCCAUUUGCACCAGAGCAAGAGCACCUAUGAGAGGAUGUGAUUGUGUCCUUCCGGUCAUGAGAGGCCUGGUGGUGUCUUCCUCUCUCCAGCACUCACUCCAGAUGGUGAGGAGGUGUGAAGUGCACGGAACAGUCAUUGCCGUGUUAGAUGUCCUCGUUACCCCCUUGGAUUCCGGCAUCCUGGGACGGCUCCUGUGUUCAUCAUUUCGUUGGCUUGUAGACUCAGGGCUUGCAAAGACAAGUGAGGACUCCUUCCCCCUCCUGAGAGGAAAGUUCCAGAGAGGAAAGGAUGGUUCAUAGGUGGCUUGCUCUCAGGAUGAGCCAGUGUGGUGCACUCUGAGCGAGGGGUGUGGAUAACAAGACGGGACUGAAGGGGUCCAGACCUGCCUUUAUCACUGAGUGUGAGCCUCCGGUUCUCAUUUGAAUUUGGAUAAAGGAAAAGAAAGAAAGAGGGUCUAGUUGCAAUGCAGAGGAGAAUGUAUUCAAAUAGCUGUUUGCUGUUGGCCCAAGUUAGACCGUUGCUGUCAACACUGUGCCUGUCCAGAAGUCAAUGACAGGCUCUCCAUCAAACGCCUUGGGGCAGUGGGGGCAGGAGCUGUGUCCCAGGGAAAUAGGCUGUUGGUUUGGUGCUGAAGCAACAAGAUCCACUUGUGACUCGCCCAGUCCUUAAGAGAAACUGGAGUUCUCAUUCGUGUGUUUAUUCACCCUUCCCCUGUUUAACGGGAACCCACUGUUUGCUGGAUUAAUGGGCACAUUAUUGUUCUGUGCCCUUUUGGAUUAAGGGCACUGUGCUCAUAGCCAUCAGGACAUGUAAAGAACCUCAGGACAGAUGUCCUCUGGGAACUGCCAGGGGAGGAUGCCUUUUGCUCAUCUUUUGGCUGGGGGAACUCCUAUUCACCCUUCAAAGCCCAGCUUGAAUGUCACCUCUUCUGUGAAAUAGAGCUGUUUCUCAACAAACAUGUUUCUCCUCAGGGCCUCUGCACUUUCUGUUCCCCCUGCCUGGAAGCUGUCUCCUCUGGAUAUCCCCAUGGCUCACUCCAUCGCUCCAUCCCGGUCUCUGCUCAAAAAGUUACUUUAUCAGAAAAGCUUUCCUCAACACUAUGAAAAACAGCAUCCCCAACUCUUCAGCCCCUUCCUCCACUUUAUUUUUCCUCACAUCCCUUAUCACAACCUGUAGCAUGUAUGUUUCCUCGCUUUACCAUCUGUCCUUCCCUCCAGAACGUAAGCUCUGUAGACACAGGCAGGGUGUGUGUUCACACCGGUCCUCAGGACACACUUGUUCUCACGGAUUGGCUGAAUCCUUCCACGACUGGAAUGUCACAUCUCUACUUGUUUUCUGUCCAUGGUGAUUUUUUUAACAGCUUUAUUGAGAUACAAUUUGUAUACAUACCAUAAAAUUCACCCAUUUAAAGAGUAAAAUUUAAUGGGUUUUAGUAUAUUGAUAAAGUUGUGCAACCAUCACUAAACUCUAACUUUAGAGCAUUUUUAUUACCCCAAAAGGAAACCCCAUACCCAGUAGCAGUCAAUCCCCAUUCCUUCCCGUCUCCAAGCCUCUGGCAACCGCUCAGCAACUCUUGUCGCUGUAGAUCUGCCUUUCCUGGCCACUUCAUAUAAAUGGAAUCAUACACCACGUGCUCUUUGUGACUGAGUUCUUUCAUUUCACAUAUAUUGUUUUUCAGGCUCAUCCAAGAUGUGACACGAAUCAGUAUUUGGUCUCUUUUAUUGCCAAAUCAUAUCCCAUUGUGUGGAUACAACACAUUUUGUUUAUCCCUUCACCAAUGGAUGGACAUUGGGUUAUUUCCCGCUUUUUGACCAUUACGAAUAAUGUUUCUGUGUACAUCACAUGCAAGUCCACGUGUGUAUAUGUGUUUCCAUUUCUCUUGGGUAGAUGCUGAGGAGUGGAAUUGCUGGGUCUCUGAUGGCUGUCUGUCAUUUCACCCAUGUAAUAGAUUUCUUCUUUCCAUGAUGAGUCUUUGAGCUGGCUGAAGGCUGGCUGGGGGUCUUAGUUAUCUAAGUAUUCCUGUAAGGCUUAAUUCAGAUGUUUGCAUAUGGUAGCUCCUUAUAAACAAUACUAGAGCAAAGGAAAGAGAACAAAGCCAAGCUGAAGCCAAGACCUCUUGAGAUAGGGCAGAAGCCAGGGAAAUUGCUGUGGGUUCUUUUCUUACUAGAAAGCUACACUUUGUCCUGUGGAUGAGGAGAGAGGUGUGUCUGUACUUAACAAGCACGUUUGCUCCCAAGUUGUCAAUAGUUUUGCUCAUAUCAUCUUUUAAAAGUUUUUUUCCUCUAAUAACAAACAUAAAUUGUACCCAUUAUGGAAAACUUGAUAAUACAGAACAAUAAAGAAGAAAAGGGACUGCCUAUAAUGCUACAUUCCCGACCUGGAUGCUUCCCAGAUAUCGUAGCAAAACCAUGUGAUCUUUCCGAACCUCAGGUUUUGAUAUGUGUAAAGUGGGAGAAAGAACAGAUCCCCUGGUGACCCCGGAAAUCUGGACUGAGGGUUAAGCAUGACAACCUGGGUGGAAGUGUCUGAUCGAUCAUGAUGGUAGCUUCUGUUUACUGACCACCUACUAUCUUCCAGGCCUUAAGUAACACACUUUAUCCAUCCAUCCACUCACCCACCCACCCAGCUUCUUUUGUCUAUCUAUCAUCUAUCUAUCGAUCGAUCGAUCUAUCUACCUAUCUAUCUAUCUGUCAUCAUCUCUAUUCUUCAUGGCAACCCCAUGAGGUAGACAUCAUUAUCUCCCUAUUACAGAUGAUGUAUCUUGCCCAGCUGGUGGCAGCCCUGGGGGAAACCCUGGUCUUUGUGAUUUCAGUUUCUUGUCGUUUCCCACCAAGCUAAAUAGUUUGAGUGCCUCUCACUGUGUUGGGCUCUCAAGAUACAAUGAUGAAUGAGAGACAAUGGUACAUAGUAAAGAAUAAAAGUUCUGGAGUCAGACAGACCUGUGUCACUCAUUCAUCUCUCUGUCCAUCCAUCCACCCAUCCAUCCAUCCAUUUAAAAAAUAAGUAUUGGGUACCUUUGAUGGGCCAAGCACCAAUUUGGACACUGGAAUCCUGGUCCCCUUCCUACAGUAGAUUAAACAAAUCAUCCAACCUCUUAAAGCCUCAGUUUUCUCAGUCGAAAAAUGAGGAGAAGAACAAUACCUAUGCUAUUGGCUUAUUGUGAGAAUUAAGCGAAACGUGCUAAACACUGUACUGGCAAUAGUGAAUUAACAAAUGUUGGCUGUUGUUAUCAGUAAUAGUAUUUGUAUUGGGUGAGAAGACGUGGGCCUGCCUUCCAGGAACUCACAGUGGGGGCUGAUGUCUCCCCUAUGGUCCUCUGCUUCCCUAACUCUUUCUCUAGCCCCAGUGGAGUGGGAUGCCCUGUUGCCAUGCCCCCAGCUGCAGCCCUGGUCCCUGGUCCCUCAGAGCUCCUAAGGGUGCAGCACUACGACUUGUCCCGCACUCACUGACCAGCUCUGCCAAGAAAGAGCGGAUGGGCGUCCCUGUUGGCAAGGAUCCAACCAGGCCAAGUGUUGGGGUUCAGAGGACAAAGGAAAGCCACGUUUCAAGGAAGUUCCUACUUCCUCAGAAUCAGUGUUCCUAUCUCUCUUGCUCACAUGAUCUAUUGGGACAUCCUUCACAUUCCAAAUGCAGCAUGUCCCAGAAUAAUGCCAGCAGUGGUCGGUCAUGUGAUGAAAUGUCUUUCUUUACAAAUUUACUGGCAUUGCCUCUGAGGAUGGGGGAUGGGAAGGAAGGAGCAGACUCCACAUUUGUGAGCAGAGUUGAGAUGGUAUAUUGACAUUAUUAUUCACCUUUUGAAAUCUCAGAUAACUGGUAUCUGAGUCAUGGCAAUCAUAUGAAUCCCUAUUAUGAGGGGAUUGGUGAGUUUAGAUGAAAUCUUGUAUGUGAAAGCACCUGGCUCUGCAAUGACCGUUUUUUCAUGCUGUAACUUAUUUCAUCUUCCUAUCGUUCAGCAAAGUAGACAAUUUUAUUACCCCCAUCUACAGGGAAAAGAAUUGAAGCUCAGAGAGGUCAUUUUACUUACCUAAGGCUGCACCGCUAAUAGGUGGGAGACCCAGUCUUCAAGCCCAGAUUUGUCUGAAUCCUGAGCUAUGUUCUGUGUGCUCUGGUCUUAACCAAUCACCCUUUCUUUAGCACAAGCAUCAGCGAUCUUUUCCCAUAAAGGGACAGAUAUUAGAUAUUUUCAGCUUUGUGGUCCAAUGUUCUGUUACAACCACUUAACUGUGCCAUUGUAGCAUGAAAGCAGCCACAGACAGUCUGUAAACCAGUGAACAUGGCUGUGUUCCAAUAAAACUUUAUUUGCAACCUCAGGAGGUGGGCUGGGCUGGGCCACAGGGCUGUCGUUUGCUGACCUCUGCUUUAGAGUAAGGCCUGGGCAUCUGGGCUGCACCAGGGAGGAGCUUGAGAAAUAAAUGCCUGCUGGCAAGAGCGCAGACUGUGCCUCUUCAGACCAUCUGCUUGUCGCUACCACGUCCCUCUUCAUAUGGAAGAUGGCUAUUAAAAAGGAAGUGCCAGCCUGCGAUUGCUUGUAGGCAAUCGAAGAAAGCAGGACGAUUAAAUGCAAGAGAUCGCCGUUAGGAGGGUCUCCUUCUUGUAGCCUUCCUGACGGAGGACAAGAGGACAAGAAUAGCCUGGGUGAUUUAUAAUGCUCAAGGAGCACUUGCUACUAAGGUUUCUUUCCUGCCCCCUGGAUUAUCUUGUCCUCAGCCACCCCUGUCCCUUAUCCCAAAGAAUUUGGACCUCUCCUGGCUUGGGGGCCACGUUCCUACUGUCUGCCCAGGGUGAGCUGGGGCGGUGCAAAUUCAGAAUACAUUUGCCUCGAGGCAGGAGCACCCUGGGGCUGCUCCAGACCUGUUUCUGGAACAGCAGGUGCAGCCGAUCCCUGACACCAAAAUACAUUCUCAAGGCGAGGGUGGACGGGCCAAGCCAGAGCAGGCCUCCCGCCCUCCGAGGACUCGGCUUCCUCCAGAGGACACAUUUGCCCCGAGGAUACCCAGAGUGUUAAUCCACUCACUCAGGAGAGCUAAGCGUGGGUCAGCAUUUUUUUGCUGGACUCGGACAGGGGCAUCCCCUCAGAGCUGCCCGGCCGGCGGGGCCACAGUAAAUCACUCACAAGAGAAGGCACUCCUUGGACGUCACGGCUGCUGGGGACUCCGCGGGUAUCGUAAAUCAGGAGCUCACUCCAUUUUACCUGUGCCUUCCAUGUGAAUGUCCAGGGGCCUCCACAGCCCAGCACGAGAAAAUGGUGGAGGAUAAAUUGAGCUGGGGCUGGGCAUCCAUGGCGGCUGUCUCUUUGUCAACUUAUUACCUGAGAUUUAUGCGUGAUGCAGCCAGGUCUGCUCGGUGACACAUUCUAAUUUAAUUAAAUUUCUGUUGGAUUGAUGUCUGAUCAAUCAAUAAUGUUAAUGUUUUUGCAAUUUGGAGAUUAAAGUGUGGUCAAGCCAUGGCAACCCCCCGGCAUCAUCCACUUACUUUAGAGCGUUCUUUGGGAGGAGGUUUGCCUGCCUGCUUUCUUUUUUCCCCCUCUCCCUUCCUCCCUUUCAUAUUUAAACGUUUAUUAAGUGCCUACAAUGUGGAGAUUUAACAAGAUGGAAAUAGGGCUUAGAGCGGGGGUUUGCAAACCUGAGUGUCUAUCAGAAUCUGCUGGAGGGCUUGUUGAGAUGCAGAUACCAGGGCCCCACCCCAGAGUUUCUGAUCUGAUAGGUCUGGGGUGGGGCCCAGGAAUCUGCAUUUCUAACAAGGCCCUGGUAAUGCUGAUGAGCACCACUGGCUUACAGGUUAGGGACUCAGCUCUGGUGUGACCUAGCUCAUCAGAUCCCACUUACAAGCUGGAUGGCUUCUGGCAAGUAACUUGAUUUCUCUAUGCCUCAGUUUCCUUACCCGUAAAAUGGGGAUAAUAACUGAGCCUAAUUCACAGGAUUGCCGCAGGCAACAUGUGAGAGUCCAUCAUACCUCUAAGACACCCCACACAGUGCCUGGGAUGCAGUAAGCACUCAAUACUUGUCACCUCUUUUGGAGGGGGAGAGCAAAGUAGCUGUGUUCCUGUCUGCCAGGAGCUCCCACCCGAAGGGCAUAUGAAUGUCGGGAUGAUAUGACGAUCAAGGCAGUGAGAGGCUCUGAUAAGUGGUAUUGAACCUAAUCGGGGAGGUCAGAGAGGGCCUCCUGAUGAAGUGGAGCUGAAAUUGGAGGGCAGGGGUAGGAGGGGACAAGGGAACAAAGAGUCUGGGGGGCUGGCAUCCUUGGAGGCCAUGUUAAUGGGCUGGACCAGUAUCCCUAAGUCCAGUGGGAAGACAAUGGAGUAUUUUAAACAGAGGAGGCAACAGGACCAUAUACAAAUGUUGAAAAGGUCUUUCCAGCUACAGUUUAGGGGAAUGGCUUGCAUUGUAGCGAGAAUGGAUAUACCGAGGGCGUGGACGGAAUUAGGAAAUCUGACUCCCCAAUGGUCCCUUCUCCAAAAUUGGUGGAUUUGAAAUGGAUAUGAAAUAUCCUGUCCCCAUCGAAUGAUACAAUUCAUCCCUGUGGCGUGAAAGACGCCACGCUAAGUGGUCAUUGGAGACUCUGAAGAAUUAGAAUACACACCAUCUAUUCUCAAGGAUUUUGCUGUCUAACAUCAUACUCGCCAUCAUACAAGUGCAAAUCAGCACACGCAUUCAAAAGUCUUUCCUGACAACCAACUGUUGGACCAUAUCAGUAGGUUGAAAGGACCAACCUGAAGAAGACUGACCUUUGCCUCCAGAGUCUCCGAGCACGACACCCCACACCCCUCACCCCUCAGUUAGCAGUGCCAAAAUGGAUGGGAGAUGGUGAGUCCAAAGGGAGUGAGGGCCAGAGGCAUCCCAAACCCUCUUGCUCCAGGAACGGUCAUCCUGUGUCUCCUCAGAGAUUGUGGAGGCCUGAAGUAGGAGGGCUGAACUCGCCUGGAGGGCCCUCAAAGCAAGAAAACCUCUUCACCCCUUUUAGUAUAACUCCCAGCCUUGGAAUUCUCAUUUUGGGUAACAGACUCAUAUACUCAUUCAGUAAUCCCUUUAUUCAACAAGGAAGGCAUCACAGAGGGGUACAGCUUUGCCAAGUCCCAGAGAUCUGCAGAACGAUGGAUAUCUAGGGGCUGGCCCAGUGGCGUAGUGGUUAAGUUCAUGUGCUCCACUUCGGUGGCCUGGGGUUCACAGGUUCAGAUCCUGGGCGUGGACCUAGCACUGCUCGUCAAGCCAUGCUGAGGUGGCGUCCCACAUAAAAUAGAGGAAGAUGGGCACAGAUGUUAGCCCAGUGACAAUCUUCCUCAAGCAAAAACAGGGAGAUUGGCCACAGAUGUUAGAUCAGGGCCAAUCUUCCUCACACACACACAGAUGAAUAUCUGCAAAUUUCUGACCAGAAUAAUAAUUGUUAAGGCUGCCAACACAUAUUGAACAUUUUCUCCAUGAGAGGUACCACAUGUAGCCUUUUACUAUAUCACUCCAUUUAUCCUUCACAGCACCUAUUGGAGACAGAAGCUCUUAUAGCUCACACUUUGCUGGAAAGAAAAUUGAAGAUCAGAGAUAUCGAGUAAGUUGGCUAAGGCCACACAGCUAGUCAUAAUGGACCUAAAACAUAAACAUAGCUCAGUCUGACUAAAAAUUAUUAGUACAUGUUUUCAAGACCCAUUCUGCCAUCAUUUCCUCAUCCUGAUAAUUAAGGAAAGGUUAGGCACCCGUGGAAUGAUUGCUAAGGACCUUCUGGUGGCUGUUGAUCUAUCAGAUGUUGAUUAAUCAGCAUCUGUGGGACUUGAAUGGUUAUCCAGCUACAAAUUCACCUAAAAUUGUGAUAAACGAGGCCACACGUCUCCUGGCUGAGAUUUUUUCCCAUACCUUUUAAGCCAUUUCUACACGAUUUCCUUGAACUCCCAGUCUAGAGCCCCUUUUAAAAAGCCCUUCAUCUUACUUGAGCCAUAGUGGCAAGGAGGUCCCGAGCCUGCCUUUGUUGAACUACUUACUAUCUUCAGUAACCUGUUCUUGAACUUGCUGGAAAUCAGGGUCAGGGGCUAGUUCACUUUUGGGAGCCCACCUUGACCCUUUCAGAAACCUUGAACAGCACUUCCCUGUGACCCGUCAUGUAACUUGCUUCCUACUCCAGUGGUUGCCGUGUUCGAUGGUGCCAUUGCCCACGUACCCUGUAGCGCUGAAUUUAUUUAGAGCAAAAUUUCCAAAAUGUCAGCCUUGGAAUGAGCCUACUCUGUAGACAGGGGUUCUCUGGUUCUGCACGGUGUUUUGAAAAAAUUUUGAAUUCUUUGUUGGCGUUUGAAAAUCUUGGCAAUUCCGGUAUAAAAUCACUUAGGAUCUGGUUUGUCUUGAAAAGUCUAACGAUGGGACAGCCCCUUUCUGCAUCAGCUGUGGUCUCCAGCUCUCUGCUCUCUGUGUCCUCUCACUUAGCAACACAAGGCCACGUCUACACACACCUCACUCUUGUAAUUAACCUGCCUGGUCCCAGUAGUCAUAUGAGCCGUUACUCUGGUGUAAGCAGUGACACUGCCUUCUUAUUCCAAAAUUAAUGCUCAAUUCAUUCUUAACAAUGUAUGCUUGAUCCUUUCCAGCGUUAGAUCUUGGUCCUCAGGGCAGAAGGCAGAAACAAAAUAAGAGUGGAGAACUUCUGCUUUCUUGCUGUCAUCUGUUCGGACUGCAUCAUCUGCUCCGAUCCCUUCCUUUUCCUUCUUGAUCCAAACAUAGCUCAAAAAGCCCUUUUGAAGGUCCUUCGCGUUUUUUCGCAAGCCUCAGCUCUUUCUAGGGUUUUGUCUCCUAACACUCUUCUUACAGAAGCAAUGUCAGUUUGUAUUUGCUUUAGGGUGAGAUGGUGCCUAAUAAAACAACACACCUGCAAAAACAACUAAAUUAGAAAUACAGCCACGUUUCCCAGUUCACGGUUGGAUCUACUGCAUCAAAAAAAAAAUGUUAAUGCAAUUCAGAAAAAAAUCUUAAUAAAUAAAUGUUAAGAAAUUUCCCCAAAAAAAAGGCCUGAAAGUUUUGAGAAAUUCAUGUAUUUACAUAUCCAGUGCCAACCUGGGUAUCGAAUGUGCCCACCUAGCCUGACUCAUAGAAGGUCCAGGAAGGGUUUGGCUGACCGAGAUGCUGUAUGCCAAACUUAACCCUAACCAGAAGCUUACAGCAUGCUCAGUUCCAGUUUCCGUAAUGCACAGGGCCCGGUGAGUAUUUUGGCAUGGUAACUGGAGAACGUUGAUGUUAUCUGCAGCACAAGUUUGCCAUAAUUCAUAUAAGACAUGGAGUUUUCAAAUCAAAUUUUCAUUGGAUGUUAAUGCUAUCUACUCCUGCUGUCUUAAAACAGGGCUGGAAGGGAGCUUUCAGAGUGACAAGAUAAGUUGGCAUUUAACAAGAGCAGCAAGAGUGAUCUUAUUAAAAUGUAAAUCAGAUCAUAUCAUUACCUUGCUUAAAAACACCCAGAACCUUCCACUGCCUGUAGAUUGAAGUCUAACUCCUUAUCAUGGCCCUUGGCCCGACACGAGCAGGCUCUGGCUUCUCCUGAGUCCAUCUCUGGCCGCCUCUGCCUUGAUCUUUUCUUUCCAGACACAGGCACUUGCUCUCUUUCUUAAACAAACCAAGCUGUUCCCACCUCCACUCUUUGCAUCUGCCAUUCCUCCUGCUCAGAUGGUUCUCCCCGACCUGAUGGGGCUGCUGUUCUUACUGCACUGAAGACUGCCAUCCCAUUGACUAAAGUAUUCAUCGCCUGGAGGGGGCCUUCUCUGAGCACCCUGAUUACAGCAGCCCUACCUUCGCCACUCUCUAAUCCUUACCCUCAUUUACGUGUCUUCAUAACACUAAGCAAUACCCCAAAACAUGUAUUUUU